GAUGAACGCUGGCGGCGUGCCUAAUACAUGCAAGUCGAGCGAACAGACGAGGAGCUUGCUCCUCUGACGUUAGCGGCGGACGGGUGAGUAACACGUGGAUAACCUACCUAUAAGACUGGGAUAACUUCGGGAAACCGGAGCUAAUACCGGAUAAUAUAUUGAACCGCAUGGUUCAAUAGUGAAAGACGGUUUUGCUGUCACUUAUAGAUGGAUCCGCGCCGCAUUAGCUAGUUGGUAAGGUAACGGCUUACCAAGGCGACGAUGCGUAGCCGACCGGAGAGGGGGGUAGGCCACACUGGAACGGAGACACGGUCCAGGCUCCUACGGGAGGCAGCAGUAGGGAAUCUUCCGCAAUGGGCGAAAGCCUGACGGAGCAACGCCGCGUGAGUGAUGAAGGUCUUCGGAUCGUAAAACUCUGUUAUUAGGGAAGAACAAAUGUGUAAGUAACUAUGCACGUCUUGACGGUACCUAAUCAGAAAGCCACGGCUAACUACGUG
Molecule: ribosomal RNA, 497 nt
Filed under: uncultured bacterium
Lineage: Bacteria
Description: partial 16S ribosomal RNA
Rfam family: Bacterial small subunit ribosomal RNA
Source: RNAcentral